This 428-nucleotide ribosomal RNA is filed under the name uncultured Limnobacter sp. RNAcentral's name for it is "bacterial SSU rRNA". It matches the Rfam family "Bacterial small subunit ribosomal RNA", at positions 132 to 556 of the family's 1533-position model. Lineage: Bacteria; Pseudomonadati; Pseudomonadota; Betaproteobacteria; Burkholderiales; Burkholderiaceae. The record is from RNAcentral.
AGUAAUGGGGGAUAGCUCGGCGAAAGCCGGAUUAAUACCGCAUACGCUUUGAGGGGGAAAGCGGGGGAUCGCAAGACCUCACGUUAUUGGAGCGGCCGAUGGCUGAUUAGCUAGUUGGUAGGGUAAAGGCCUACCAAGGCGACGAUCAGUAGCUGGUUUGAGAGGACUAUCAGCCACACUGGGACUGAGACACGGCCCAGACUCCUACGGGAGGCAGCAGUGGGGAAUUUUGGACAAUGGGGGAAACCCUUGUACCAGCAAUGCCGCGUGUGCAAAGAAGGCCUUCGGGUUGUAAAGCACUUUUGUCAGGGAAGAAAUCCUUUGGCCCAAUAUCCCAGGGGGAUGACGGUACCUGAAGAAUAAGCCCGGCUAACUACGUGCCAUCAGCCGCGGUAAUACGUAGGGUGCAAGCGUUAUCGGAAUUACUG